AGCGGCGGUGCAGCUGGCAACCGAACCGUAUACAAGAGAUUGAUGCGGUUCGAAGGAAAGUCCGGACUCCGCGGAACACGGUGCCCAUUACAACAGUGGGGAAUACGGUUUCAAAGCCGUAUGACGGAAAGUGCCACAGAAAAUAGGUAGCCCUGCAAAGGGUCAUAGUGAAAAGGUGAGGUAAGAGCUCACCGCGCGGGCCGAGAGGGCCGCGGCACGGCAAACCCCGCCGGGAGCAAGGCCAAAUAGGGAGCAGUGCGGAUGAACGCGAGUUCAGCCGCCGGAAGCGUUCCGCUUCUUAAGCUACGGGUAGGCUGCGAAGAUUAAUUGUCAGCGCUUUUGGUGCAGUGAUGCGCUGUAAAGAGACAGAAUCCGGCUUACACCGUCCGCUGUCU
Molecule: RNase P RNA, 395 nt
Filed under: Bacillota bacterium
Lineage: Bacteria; Bacillati; Bacillota
Description: RNase P RNA component class A
Rfam family: Bacterial RNase P class A
About the family: Ribonuclease P (RNase P) is a ubiquitous endoribonuclease, found in archaea, bacteria and eukarya as well as chloroplasts and mitochondria. Its best characterised activity is the generation of mature 5'-ends of tRNAs by cleaving the 5'-leader elements of precursor-tRNAs.
Source: RNAcentral